This 208-nucleotide ribosomal RNA is filed under the name uncultured bacterium. RNAcentral's name for it is "partial 16S ribosomal RNA". It matches the Rfam family "Bacterial small subunit ribosomal RNA", at positions 568 to 774 of the family's 1533-position model. The record is from RNAcentral.
UGUGUAGGUGGCGCGCUAAGUCGGGUGUGAAAUUUCGGAGCUUAACUCCGAAACUGCAUUCGAUACUGGCGUGCUUGAGGACUGGAGAGGAGACUGGAAUUCAUGGUGUAGCAGUGAAAUGCGUAGAGAUCAUGAGGAAGACCAGUGGCGAAGGCGGGUCUCUGGACAGUUCCUGACACUGAGACACGAAGGCCGAGGGGAGCAAACG